Hippopotamus amphibius kiboko is the source of this 1416-nucleotide long non-coding RNA. RefSeq lists it as uncharacterized. The transcript has 3 exons. NCBI's taxonomy places the organism in Eukaryota, Metazoa, Chordata, Mammalia, Artiodactyla, Hippopotamidae. The record is from RefSeq and is a predicted model, not a curated record.
UUAGUGCCCUUAUAAAAGAGAUCCCAGAGCUAGCUCACUCACUUUCUACCAUGUGAGGACACAGCAGUGAGAAGGCCACAGUCUGCAACCCAGAAGGUGGCCCUCACUGGAACCCAACUGUACUAGCACCCUGACCUCAGGCUUCCAGCCUCCAGAACUGCAGUCUGUGUCUUCUGGUUGGUGCAUUUAGUCCACUUACAGUCAAGCAAAUAUGAUGCAUAUAGGAUGCCUGCAUUGCUCCCUCCUGCAUUCCUUAAAACUCUCCACCCUCGAAGACCAGGAACUUCAAAUGUGGAAACCUUUAAAUCAGGUCUUUUUUAAUGGGUUUAUUUCAGAUUCAGAAUACUGUUCCAGUGUUGCCUUUGGUUCUGCAUGAAAACUCAAUGACUCUGAGAGCUAGACUUUCAGAAGGGGAAAGUAGGAUUGUGCUAAAUGCAGGACUCGCAGCCCUGCAGAAAUGCAACAUCUUCACUGACCCGUGUGCAGGGAGGCUGAAGGGGCGGCAGGAUCACAGGCUUGGAUGGAAGAUCCACCAAAUGGCAAUGGCAGUAACUGAUCAAAUGAACUUCAGCACUUUGCUUAGCUCCCUUUCAUCUGUUUCUUCAUUCAUAAAAAAAUAAAUAAAGAUAGAAGGAUAUAUAUAAGAUUUCAUUGAGGUACUAAAUGAAAAGUGGUUGUUGUAAAAUAAAAUUUUACAUAACAUGCAAUAUACUGUUCAUUCCCAGUAACAUGUAGUGUCCUGGCCACGACAAUCAAAGCAGCUGUUGUCUCAGCGAGAAGGGAGACCCCUGGCAACAGCAAAGAUGACCCUGCCUCCAUGGCCCAGGUUUAAGUUUCAAAACAGACAGAGUGUGGUGUGCUGGUAAACAUUCAGCUACAAGCAGGUCUUAACAAAACAAAACAAAACAAAACAAAACAAACAAAAAAAGACCUAUUUGUAGCCCCUAAUGAUUUUUGUGGUGAAAAUAUUCUCCAUCAUUCCUAAUUUCAAUCCACCAAUGUGAUAUCAUCGAGUAGAAAGUUAGAAGAGAUGAACAGGCUAGGAGCACAUGAACUUCCAAAGCUGCAGUUUGCUGUUUAGCAUUACAAAAAGAAAGAUGCAGGAUAUGACAAGGUGCUGUUUCUUGCCACCUAGCAAAAAAUGUGAGUAAAAACUUUUCUCAAGCUACGAGGAAGAUUGUGGAGUGAUUCAGAGGGAGUCACGUGAGAAGUGGCCCAGCCCACGUGUCCCAUUGGUCUGGCUGUGGUGAGAUACAGACACCUGGGCAGGAAGAAGAAUUCAAACGUUCCUCCUUGAAAUUCUGUGAGCCCUUCCUCUGAUCAGAGAACCUGUGACUGUGUGUCACUGUUAGGCAGGGAAAGGAGUGAAGAUAAGACUUCUGACUCCUCACCGGCCUCCUGCAGCAUGAAGAGGGC